AAAAACUCCGGUGGUAUGAGAUGGGCCCGCGUCUGAUUAGCUAGUUGGCGGGGUAACGGCCCACCAAGGCGACGAUCAGUAGCCGACCUGAGAGGGUGACCGGCCACAUUGGGACUGAGACACGGCCCAAACUCCUACGGGAGGCAGCAGUGGGGAAUAUUGCACAAUGGGGGAAACCCUGAUGCAGCGACGCCGCGUGAGCGAUGAAGUAUUUCGGUAUGUAAAGCUCUAUCAGCAGGGAAGAAGAUGACGGUACCUGACUAAGAAGCCCCGGCUAACUACGUGCCAGCAGCCGCGGUAAUACGUAGGGGGCAAGCGUUAUCCGGAUUUACUGAGUGUAAAGGGAGCGUAGACGGCGGUGCAAGCCAGAUGUGAAAGCCCGGGGCUCAACCCCGGGACUGCAUUUGGAACUGUAUGGCUGGAGUGUCGGAGAGGCAGGCGGAAUUCCUAGUGUAGCGGUGAAAUGCGUAGAUAUUAGGAGGAACACCAGUGGCGAAGGCGGCCUGCUGGACGAUGACUGACGUUGAGGCUCGAAAGCGUGGGGAGCAAACAGGAUUAGAUACCCUGGUAGUCCACGCCGUAAACGAUGACUACUAGGUGUCGGGCAGCAAAGCUGUUCG
This 620-nucleotide ribosomal RNA is filed under the name uncultured bacterium. RNAcentral's name for it is "bacterial SSU rRNA". It matches the Rfam family "Bacterial small subunit ribosomal RNA", at positions 202 to 842 of the family's 1533-position model. The record is from RNAcentral.